RNAcentral lists this ribosomal RNA (253 nucleotides) under uncultured bacterium. RNAcentral's name for it is "partial 16S ribosomal RNA". It matches the Rfam family "Bacterial small subunit ribosomal RNA", at positions 524 to 776 of the family's 1533-position model. The record is from RNAcentral.
UACGGAGGGUGCGAGCGUUGUCCGGAAUCACUGGGCGUAAAGGGCGCGUAGGUGGCUUCUCAAGCGCGCGGUGAAAGCCCGGGGCUCAACCCCGGGUCGGCCGUGCGGACUGGGAGGCUCGAGCACUGUAGGGGCGGGUGGAAUUCCGGGUGUAGCGGUGGAAUGCGUAGAGAUCCGGAAGAACACCGGUGGCGAAGGCGGCCCGCUGGGCUGUGGCUGACGCUGAGGCGCGACAGCGUGGGGAGCAAACAGG